RNAcentral lists this ribosomal RNA (702 nucleotides) under Pectobacterium carotovorum subsp. carotovorum. RNAcentral's name for it is "bacterial SSU rRNA". It matches the Rfam family "Bacterial small subunit ribosomal RNA", at positions 82 to 782 of the family's 1533-position model. The record is from RNAcentral. Lineage: Bacteria; Pseudomonadati; Pseudomonadota; Gammaproteobacteria; Enterobacterales; Pectobacteriaceae.
CGACCAUUGAGUAGCGGCGGACGGGUGAGUAAUGUCUGGGAAACUGCCUGAUGGAGGGGGAUAACUACUGGAAACGGUAGCUAAUACCGCAUAACGUCUUCGGACCAAAGAGGGGGACCUUCGGGCCUCUUGCCAUCAGAUGUGCCCAGAUGGGAUUAGCUAGUAGGUGAGGUAAUGGCUCACCUAGGCGACGAUCCCUAGCUGGUCUGAGAGGAUGACCAGCCACACUGGAACUGAGACACGGUCCAGACUCCUACGGGAGGCAGCAGUGGGGAAUAUUGCACAAUGGGCGCAAGCCUGAUGCAGCCAUGCCGCGUGUGUGAAGAAGGCCUUCGGGUUGUAAAGCACUUUCAGCGGGGAGGAAGGCGGUGAGGUUAAUAACCUCAUCGAUUGACGUUACCCGCAGAAGAAGCACCGGCUAACUCCGUGCCAGCAGCCGCGGUAAUACGGAGGGUGCAAGCGUUAAUCGGAAUGACUGGGCGUAAAGCGCACGCAGGCGGUUUGUUAAGUCAGAUGUGAAAUCCCCGAGCUUAACUUGGGAACUGCAUUUGAAACUGGCAAGCUAGAGUCUUGUAGAGGGGGGUAGAAUUCCAGGUGUAGCGGUGAAAUGCGUAGAGACUGGAGGAAUACCGGUGGCGAAGGCGGCCCCCUGGACAAAGACUGACGCUCAGGUGCGAAAGCGUGGGGAGCAAACAGAUCAUA